Molecule: ribosomal RNA, 558 nt
Filed under: uncultured bacterium
Lineage: Bacteria
Description: bacterial SSU rRNA
Rfam family: Bacterial small subunit ribosomal RNA
Source: RNAcentral
CUACGGGAGGCAGCAGUGGGGAAUCUUGCACAAUGGAGGAAACUCUGAUGCAGCGAUGCCGCGUGAGUGAAGAAGGCCCUUGGGUUGUAAAGCUCUUUCGUCGGGGGAGAAAAUGACUGUACCCGAAUAAGAAGGUCCGGCUAACUUCGUGCCAGCAGCCGCGGUAAUACGAAGGGACCUAGCGUAGUUCGGAAUUACUGGGCUUAAAGAGUUCGUAGGUGGUUGAAAAAGUUAGUGGUGAAAUCCCAGAGCUUAACUCUGGAACUGCCAUUAAAACUUUUCAGCUAGAGUAUGAUAGAGGAAAGCAGAAUUUCUAGUGUAGAGGUGAAAUUCGUAGAUAUUAGAAAGAAUACCAAUUGCGAAGGCAGCUUUCUGGAUCAUUACUGACACUGAGGAACGAAAGCAUGGGUAGCGAAGAGGAUUAGAUACCCUCGUAGUCCACGCCGUAAACGAUGUGUGUUAGACGUUGGAAAUUUAUUUUCAGUGUCGCAGCGAAAGCGAUAAACACACCGCCUGGGGAGUACGAUCGCAAGGUUAAAACUCAAAGGAAUUGACGGA